RNAcentral lists this ribosomal RNA (490 nucleotides) under uncultured bacterium. RNAcentral's name for it is "partial 16S ribosomal RNA". It matches the Rfam family "Bacterial small subunit ribosomal RNA", at positions 28 to 506 of the family's 1533-position model. The record is from RNAcentral.
GAUGAACGCUGGCUACAGGCUUAACACAUGCAAGUCGAGGGGAAACGACGGGGAAGCUUGCUUCCCCGGGCGUCGACCGGCGCACGGGUGAGUAACGCGUAUCCAACCUGCCUCUGACUGAGGGAUAACCCGUCGAAAGUCGGCCUAAUACCUCAUGGUAUCGUCUGCGGGCAUCCAACGACGAUUAAAGAUUUCAUCGGUCAGGGAUGGGGAUGCGUCUGAUUAGCUUGUUGGCGGGGUAACGGCCCACCAAGGCUACGAUCAGUAGGGGUUCUGAGAGGAAGGUCCCCCACAUUGGAACUGAGACACGGUCCAAACUCCUACGGGAGGCAGCAGUGAGGAAUAUUGGUCAAUGGGCGAGAGCCUGAACCAGCCAAGUAGCGUGCAGGAAGACGGCCCUAUGGGUUGUAAACUGCUUUUAUGCGGGGAUAAAGUGAGGGACGUGUCCCUCAUUGCAGGUACCGCAGGAAUAAGGACCGGCUAAUUCCGU